Molecule: long non-coding RNA, 509 nt
Filed under: Cyanistes caeruleus (blue tit)
Lineage: Eukaryota; Metazoa; Chordata; Aves; Passeriformes; Paridae
Description: lncRNA (ENSCCEG00000000962.1)
Source: RNAcentral
CUGCACCCUCCUAUGUACGAGACACAAUUUGCACACCAAUGCAAUGGAAGCUGUUGAGGAGGAACCACCUCGGUUUGAUCUUUGUAAACUGCUGGUCUUCAGCCUCCAUAGACAGUUCUGGCAGUGCACUUGAACAAGGCUGCAAAGAUAAUUAAUGGAAGGAACUCUGAAAUCCAAACUCAGAUUAUUCUGCAGUCCCCAACAUCUAUCCAAUUUGCAUACCAAUUGGUCCUGCCAGUGUUACCCUGCUCUUUGUGGACACGUGGGACCCAGCAGAAUCCAUUGAGCAGCCAGCAGAAGCAGCAGAGCUGGGAACAGUGAGCAGAUGUCCUGAGCCGGCCCGAGGAAGCCCAGGCAGCCACACCAAUACAACCACCAGCACACAGGAUCUCUUUGUUGUCUUGAGCUCUCAGGGUGGCUGCCUAACACCUGCAGCACUCCCACAUCCCUGUGUAAAUUGCCUGCAUCCCUCGCUGACAAAUGAGAGGCCAUUGCCAGCAACAAGGUAA